UGGGUUAGCCAUUGGUGGAAUACCAGGCAAUCCGAAACUCUCUUAACUGAUAUUCAAGAGAAAAGGAUUCUAGAAAGAUUCAUAGAAUUAGAAGAACUUUCUCUCUUGGACGAGAUGAUAAAAGGGAAACUAAAGACACAUGUACAAAAACCUCCUACAGGAAUACAAAAAAGUUUGCCCGUUGUUUGUCUCAGUUAA
Molecule: ribosomal RNA, 198 nt
Filed under: Triticum aestivum (bread wheat)
Lineage: Eukaryota; Viridiplantae; Streptophyta; Magnoliopsida; Poales; Poaceae
Description: partial small subunit ribosomal RNA
Source: RNAcentral